UAAAAAAAAAAAACAAAAAAAAGAAUAAGAAUCCCAAAAUUUUUAUGGGAAGAAUAAGAAGAGGCUUAGAAUUUUUAGAGCUCUAAUAUCAUGUUGAAAUUUAGAAGGGUAGAAAAGAUAGAAGGAAAGUAGCAAGAGAAAGAUUUAUGUGGUUUAGCUACUGAUAGCCUAUAUCCACAGAUACAAAAUCUUAAAAAGGGUUACAUUUUAUUCACUUAUGUGGUGUGCAUCACAUGAUACAUAAAACAACAUAUUUAUCCCAAAAAUUUGGGGUCAACUAUAUGGAUUCAC
Molecule: unclassified non-coding RNA, 291 nt
Filed under: Hevea brasiliensis (rubber tree)
Lineage: Eukaryota; Viridiplantae; Streptophyta; Magnoliopsida; Malpighiales; Euphorbiaceae
Source: RNAcentral